AGCCUAAGUGGAAAGCAAAUUUCCACAAAUUCUAUAAGAGAAAUUAUGACAUUAAAAUGUAAAUAACAAAAAUAUGGAUUAAAAUGUAUUAGUUAUGACAUUAAAAUGUAAAUAGCCAAGUCUGUAAUCCAUGGCUAAUGUACUGUUGCCCCGUUACUAACUCCAUGAUAUUAGUUAUGCUAGGCCAAGCAUAAAAGUGAACUUUUUUAAGCCAAAAGGCAAGCAUUUAUCUUCUAUUUAAGGAACUGAAA
Molecule: long non-coding RNA, 251 nt
Filed under: Gossypium raimondii (Peruvian cotton)
Lineage: Eukaryota; Viridiplantae; Streptophyta; Magnoliopsida; Malvales; Malvaceae
Description: long non-coding RNA (GRAI_LNC009065)
Source: RNAcentral